AAUCGUCGACUUUAGAAAUCGUGAGGGUUCAAGUCCCUCUAUCCCCAA
RNAcentral lists this transfer RNA (48 nucleotides) under Tachigali myrmecophila. RNAcentral describes it as "partial tRNA-Leu". Lineage: Eukaryota; Viridiplantae; Streptophyta; Magnoliopsida; Fabales; Fabaceae. The record is from RNAcentral.